UCUCUUCUCUUCCUCAUUUUCUCUCUCUUUUCAUUCUUUCUGUGUCUAUCUUUCUACACCCAUCCUCAUUCUUCACAAAUACGAAGUAAUUCUUGAAAGAAACUAGAGAGAAUACCGGUGAACGAACCAAAUUCUGAAUCCACUUUACCUCGAAUACAGUUUCCGAUUACCAACUCUCUAGCGGCUAACCGAUACGAAGUGUGCAGGCAGAAGCUAGAGGAGAUACAGAUAAAGACGAAAUGGGAGAUGAAAAAAGAUUAAAAAUAAGGAACCGAGAAAGAACGAAAAGGGACCAAAGCGAAGGGUAAAGGUUCCUCUGAGCGAAAAUGUGUAUGAAACGACGAAAAAGAAGAAGGUAACUAGAGUGAUAGAGAAUGAAAAAGAAAGAGAGAGUAUACGGAAUGCUAUCAUGAGUUUUCCGAGUUUUCCAGGAGCUAUCCGGGAAGCCGAGUGGGGGUGUUAAUUACCAGCUCGUUCUGUGCAUGAGAAAGAGAGAGAGAGAGAGAGAGAGGAGAGAAAGAGAGAGAGAGAGAGAGAGAGAGAGAGAAGAGAGCACUCUCGAGAUAUGGGAGCGGAUGGGGGCAGACUCGAUGGUAGGAAAGGAUGGAGGCAGCCGGGUGCGAGAUAACGUUUUCAAUUACCUGCAGGAUGUGACGUAGUUAUGAGUUAGCUACCUAGAGAGCGAAAGCGGUGAAGGUUAGAAAUCCUACCUCUCUAGCAAGCCAACCGACUGCUUCCAGGAGAUGAUGAACCAAGAUGGCCUAAGAAGACAAAAGGCAAACGAAAUAGAUGCAAAUACGCCAUUUACGAAAGGCUACGGGACGGGAAGGGUGUAAGCCGAGUGACAACGAACGACGGGAAUCGAGCGGAGAAGCGAAGCGAAAGAAGCAGAAAAACCGAUCCAAUUAGCGCAUGGCUUUAAUGCGAUAGGACGAAGGCGAAGACUCCCUCUUAUAAUCCUCGAGACUCCUUUCUGUUCGCUCUUCUCCCAGUUGACUUCGCGCUACGGACCCUAGCAGACCCCUCUUCUUCUUCUCCUCUUUUUUUUAUGUACUUUCGAGAAUAUCGCAGAUGGCUUUACCGACGGUAACUUUACGGCGACUACCUCUGGAUGCAUUUCAUUCAGGAUGAAAUGUGCCAACGUUCAACGAAGAGAAAGAAUGAAAAAAGAAUGCGAAAUCAUCGAAGCUUUCGUUGAAGUUCGACGACGUUUCGAUGGGAUUUCUUCUCCGAUCAUCGACUCGGCUCUAACAAUAGCUUCAGGCGGUGAAAAUUGAAUUUAAGGAAAAAUUAAAUGUGCUUGAGGAGUA
This is a long non-coding RNA of Vespula pensylvanica (western yellowjacket), 1310 nucleotides long. RefSeq lists it as uncharacterized. The transcript has 2 exons. The record is from RefSeq and is a predicted model, not a curated record. NCBI's taxonomy places the organism in Eukaryota, Metazoa, Arthropoda, Insecta, Hymenoptera, Vespidae.